This is a non-coding RNA of Labrus bergylta (ballan wrasse), 1674 nucleotides long. The record is from RefSeq and is a predicted model, not a curated record. Lineage: Eukaryota; Metazoa; Chordata; Actinopteri; Labriformes; Labridae.
CUUUGCCCAUGUUCCUGUUUUGAAGUUUCCUCUUGGCCUUUGGCUUUUUCCUUUUGGAUUUUGAUGGACUUUGUCUGAACUAAAGACAGCACACACGUGGAGAUGGCUGUGAUCGAGGAGGAUUCUGAAAAACACACAGCAGUAGUUUGGUCUCCAAAAUGUCUCAAGGCUGACGGGACGUUAAAGAGACCAAAGUCUGUGUGUGAGGUACCCCCAUAUUGAACAUGUCUGUGGCCCCUUGAACAGAACCUUCUUUCACUGACUUUGGUUGUAACCAAACAGUCGAGUUAUUUUGCAAACGGCACAGUGCUUGCCUGUUUGCUGAAAUGCCUCAUUAUGUGCUUUGUAUGUACACACAUACAUCAAACUGUCACUACUCCCUCACUUUAUAGAAAAGCUGUUGGUUUCAAAACAUUUUCUUAAUCAGCAUUCAAAACUUCUAUUUGUUUCAAACAUACAUGUGUGUGUUGGAAGAAUAAUAAUGUUAAAGCCCCUUUGAGGAGUUCUUACCUGGUUAGGAAACAGACCGUCAUAAAUACUGAAUCCUUCUAACUACCUACAAAACCCAGACCAUCAACAAUAAGAUUCAAUAUUUCUUUAUAGUACAUUUUAAAUGGCUGCAAGGUAGUGUAGUGGUUAGUGCUGUUGCCUCACCGCGAGAUGGUUCCUGGUUCGAAUCCCCGACAGACAGGAGCCUUUCAGUGUUGAAUUUGCAUGCUGUCCCCGUUCUUGCAUGGGUUCUCUCCGGGUACUCUGGCUUCCUCCAGUUCAAACACAUGCUCGUUAGGUUAUUUGGUGACUCUAAAUUUCCCCUAGGUAUGAAUGUGAGUGUGACUGGUUAUCUGUCCCUCUAUAUCAGCCUGUGACCAGUCCAGAUUGUUACCCGUCUCUCGCCCACUAUGAGCUAGGAUCUACUCCAGCCCCCCCGCUGGAUAAUGGAUGCAUGGAAGUUUUAAAUGUCUGUUUCCGCUGCUGUAGGGUAGAUGCCAGACGAAGCCGGCUGUAAGCAGUCACGCUGCAAAAAUAGGCUUUCUUUACUACUUACCAAAUAUUCUCAAUGAGCCACACGUUUGUCUUUUAAAACAACAAGCAGGAUGAUACAUUAUCUUUAAAGACACGACUCACCCAUACAGGAGAAGAUCAGCAAAGAAAUGAGAAGAACCACUUUGUCCACAGCGGUGCCAAAAUCAAUAUGAAGUGAAUGUUCCUCACAGAGGGAGAUGCAUGAAUGGCUACAACACAAAAACAUCACUGUAUCACACACCUCCUCUCUCUCUUUCUUAUUCAUUUAAAAUGUCAAGGAAACACCUCACUGCGCAUUCACUUAAUCAUGCUAAACCUGAACAGGAACACAUGUCCUCCGCUCGCCCACAGACCUGUUACCUAAUACCUCACACACUUAAUGCCACGCUCUGAAGUGGGGACCAACAGGAGCUGUGGAAAUAAACAAUUGAACAAAGGGUGACCGUGGUCGAGGUAUUCUGACAAAUCAGGUUGUGAUUAGUAAUGUCUGUGACACAGCUAAUGAAUCAUCACUGCCUUUGACCCUGAAUGAACAAUACUGAGUCUCUAUGAAUGAGCUGUUUCAGUGAAUGCUCCUCAGUACACACAGUACAAGAGAGGAAUAAUAUGCUUCCUCCCUCUUGUAUCUGAUCUAUCCAUCGAAUAUGAACU